AGGUCACUGACAUUAGAUACCCGUGUAGUCCAGGGUGUAAACGCUGCAGACUUGGUGUUGGAAGUCCUUUGGGGGCAUUCAGUGCCGGAGAGAAGUUGUUAAGUCUGCUACUUGGGAGUACGUCCGCAAGGAUGAAACUUAAAGGAAUUGGCGGGGGAGCACCGCAACGGGAGGAGCGUGCGGUUUAAUUGGAUUCAACACCGUAAACUCACCAGGGAAGACUGUUACAUGAAAGCCGAGAUGAAGACUCUGCUAGAUUUUCAG
This 264-nucleotide ribosomal RNA is filed under the name uncultured archaeon. RNAcentral's name for it is "partial 16S ribosomal RNA". It matches the Rfam family "Archaeal small subunit ribosomal RNA", at positions 714 to 982 of the family's 1478-position model. The record is from RNAcentral.